This 373-nucleotide ribosomal RNA is filed under the name uncultured bacterium. RNAcentral's name for it is "bacterial SSU rRNA". It matches the Rfam family "Bacterial small subunit ribosomal RNA", at positions 525 to 896 of the family's 1533-position model. The record is from RNAcentral.
ACGUAGGAGGCGAGCGUUAUUCGGAUUUACUGGGCGUAAAGCGUGUGUAGGUGGUGCGGUUAGUUGGAUGUGAAAGCUCCUGGCUUAACUGGGAGAGGUCGUUCAAUACUGCCGUGCUAGAGAGUGAGAGAGGGAAGUGGAAUUCCGGGUGUAGUGGUGAAAUGCGUAGAUAUCCGGAGGAACACCAGUGGCGAAAGCGUCUUCCUGGCUCAUUUCUGACACUCAGACACGAAAGCUAGGGUAGCAAACGGGAUUAGAGACCCCGGUAGUCCUAGCUGUAAACGAUGUAGACUUGGCGUUGGUGGUGUUAAAUCCAUCGGUGCCGAAGCUAACGCGAUAAGUCUACCGCCUGGGGAUUACGGCCGCAAGGCUA